ACAUCGAGACCAAUGGGAGAAGAGAGAGAGUACAGCCUCAGACGUCAGUAGUGUCUGAGGUGAGGCUGUACCCUCUCUCUUCUUCUCUUGCUCUAUCGAUGG
Molecule: microRNA precursor, 102 nt
Filed under: Musa acuminata subsp. malaccensis (wild Malaysian banana)
Lineage: Eukaryota; Viridiplantae; Streptophyta; Magnoliopsida; Zingiberales; Musaceae
Description: MIR529 microRNA precursor family
Rfam family: MIR529 microRNA precursor family
Source: Rfam by way of RNAcentral